CAACAAAGUGUUAGAGUGUCUUUGGCAGAUCAGGGCCAAGGAAUGCCUUAAAGAUCACAUCAUGCAACGGAUUUAUGUGGGAGAGGGGGCUGGCUCUGUGUAGGGACAUGAGAGAAAAAGACAGGUGGGAGGUGGUAGCAGGGCUUUCUGAAGGGUACACAGCUCAUGGAAAUGUGUAGAAUUUGGCUGGUGAUGAUGUGGCUGCUGGCACUGAGUCGCUGAAGGCAGAUUGGGGGUGAAACUGGUUCUGGAAUGUGGGUAGUUCCUAACACAAUACCUUUUGCCAAAGUGGGGGUUCUGCCUAACCAUUUUACAGGGAACCUGCUUCCUUCCAAGAAACUGCUCUCUACGGCUGCUUAGCUGCAGUGCUCUGCUUCAGACCCGGGAGUGAUUCAGGCCACUCCUGUCUAGGACAGAGGUGCCUACACAGCCCCUCAGAGGCCAAGGCUAGGAGCAGAGACAUGAGCUAGCUUACACAAGGACUCUGGAGGAUCAAGUCUAAGGAAAGGAAGUCACCGUUCCACACUGCAAAUUGCAAUGUGUCCUGCCAGUCUCCUGUUUCUUGCCCCACCUAGCCUGUGGCUUGACUUCCUGGGUCACACAAGUGACAUUCAGGAGUGGUUGUAUUACCCAAGAAAGUCUCCUGAUCCCCCACAGCCUAUCUCCCCACUCCUUGGAAGGAUCUGGCCUUUCAGGGCAGCUGCCGGUGAGGUUUCCACUUGGACAGACAUGGCAGACCAGGACAGGACCAUCCUCUUCAGACUGGGAUACUGACUCUGGGCAGCAUAAAUGUCCCUCAAAGAAGCAAGCAGGCUAGAGAUCGGAAACAGAGGUGACUGGGAGAGGAACUUGUGAAGGACAUCAUGACUCUCUGGGUCAGUGAUGCAGGUGGGGUCUGGGUCCACCUCAGGUGGGUAACAGCAGCUGAAAGGCUGUCCCCAGGAGCAGCACAGACAACUGGAGUGUCCUGACCAGCACUUUGGGGGCAAGACCUGGACAGGAAAAAAGUGAACAUAUUUUUACAUAUUUUUGUUUUGUUUUGUUUGUUUUGAAACAAGGUCUCUCUCUGGCUGUACUGGAAUUCACUGUGUAGACCAGGUUGGCAUUAAAACUCACAGAAAUCUACCUGCCUCUGCCUCUGCCUCUGCCUCUGCCUCUGCCUCUGCCUCUGCAGUGCUGGGAUUAAAAGCAUGCACCCCUGGGGUUGGCGAGAUGGCUCAGCAGGUAAGAGCACUGACUGCUCCUCCGAAGGUCCUGAGUUCAAAUCCCAGCACCAAGGCUCACAACCAUCCGUAGUGAGACUUGGUGCCCUCUUCUGGUGCAUCUGAAGACAGCUACAGUGUAUUUAUUUAUAAUAAUAAAUAAAUCUUUGGGCUGGAGCA
This 1382-nucleotide long non-coding RNA is filed under the name Mus spicilegus (steppe mouse). RNAcentral's name for it is "lncRNA (ENSMSIG00000023246.1)". Lineage: Eukaryota; Metazoa; Chordata; Mammalia; Rodentia; Muridae. The record is from RNAcentral.